UCUCGGCUUAUCACCGGCAGUCCCCCUAGAGUGCCCAACUGAAUGAUGGCAACUAAGGGCGAGGGUUGCGCUCGUUGCGCCACUUAAGGCAACACCUCACGGCACGAGCUGACGACAGCCAUGCACCACCUGUGCGGGCUCCGUAGAGCGCCGGCUUUCACCGGCUCUGCCCCGCAUGUCAAGCCCAGGUAAGGUUCUUCGCGUUGCGUCGAAUUAAACCACAUGCUCCACUGCUUGUGCGGGCCCCCGUCAAUUCCUUUGAGUUUCAGCCUUGCGGCCGUACUCCCCAGGCGGGGCACUUAAUGCGUUUGCGCCGGCCCUCAAGGGGUCGCUCCCCCAAGGACCUAGUGCCCAUCGUUUACGGCGUGGACUAC
Molecule: unclassified non-coding RNA, 374 nt
Filed under: uncultured bacterium
Lineage: Bacteria
Description: contains 16S-23S intergenic spacer region
Source: RNAcentral